This is a long non-coding RNA of Fukomys damarensis (Damara mole-rat), 253 nucleotides long. RefSeq lists it as uncharacterized. The record is from RefSeq and is a predicted model, not a curated record. The transcript has 3 exons. NCBI's taxonomy places the organism in Eukaryota, Metazoa, Chordata, Mammalia, Rodentia, Bathyergidae.
UCCUGGGGUUGCUUUAUGGCCUCAGUAUGUAAGGUCCUCCCUCCACAGUUGGUGAUAAAAACCAGCAGGAGUAUUCCCUUUUGCUUUUCUUGCAAGCGCUCUUUCUUGUUGAAAUUCAUUUAAGCUUCAGCUUUGAGAUUUUUGUUGUUUCAAGAACAUUUCAUGCAUAGAACUUAACUGGCUACACUGAGAUUCACCCAUGUUGCUGAGUGCUGAAAUUGAACUUAGGGAGCGCUGAACUACAGCCCUGGCC